RNAcentral lists this ribosomal RNA (253 nucleotides) under uncultured bacterium. RNAcentral's name for it is "partial 16S ribosomal RNA". It matches the Rfam family "Bacterial small subunit ribosomal RNA", at positions 524 to 776 of the family's 1533-position model. The record is from RNAcentral.
UACGUAGGGUGCGAGCGUUAAUCGGAAUUACUGGGCGUAAAGCGUGCGCAGGCGGUUCGUUAAGUUCGAUGUGAAAUCCCCGGGCUCAACCUGGGAACUGCAUUUGUGACUGCAUCGCUGGAGUGCGGCAGAGGGGGAUGGAAUUCCGCGUGUAGCAGUGAAAUGCGUAGAUAUGCGGAGGAACACCGAUGGCGAAGGCAAUCCCCUGGGCCUGCACUGACGCUCAUGCACGAAAGCGUGGGGAGCAAACAGG